GCGAUCAUCGGCGCAACUGGAAGCGCCAGGCCCUGCUUUGAUCGUCUGGCCAUGCGGGUUCGAAUCCCGCUGAUCGCU
Molecule: transfer RNA, 78 nt
Filed under: Ardenticatenaceae bacterium
Lineage: Bacteria; Bacillati; Chloroflexota; Ardenticatenia; Ardenticatenales; Ardenticatenaceae
Description: tRNA-Gln
Rfam family: tRNA
About the family: Transfer RNA (tRNA) molecules are approximately 80 nucleotides in length. Their secondary structure includes four short double-helical elements and three loops (D, anti-codon, and T loops).
Source: RNAcentral